UAAAAAAAGGUAAGCUACUAAGAGCGAAUGGUGGAUGCCUUGACUGGUAAAGGCGAUGAAGGACGUACUAGACUGCGAUAAGCUACGGGGAGCUGUCAAGAAGCUUUGAUCCGUAGAUUUCCGAAUGGGGCAACCCAAUGUAUAGAGAUAUGCAUUACCUAUAUAGGAGCGAACGAGGGGAAUUGAAACAUCUUAGUACCCUCAGGAAAAGAAAUCAAUAGAGAUUGCGUCAGUAGCGGCGAGCGAAAGCGCAAGAGGGCAAACCCAGUGCUUGCACUGGGGGUUGUAGGACUGCAAUGUGCAAGAGGUAAGUUUAGCAGAACAUUCUGGAAAGUAUAACCAUAGAGGGUGAUAGUCCCGUAUGCGAAAAACAAACCUUAGCUAGCAGUAUCCUGAGUAGGGCGGGACACGAGGAAUCCUGUCUGAAUCCGGGUCGACCACGAUCCAACCCUAAAUACUAAUACCAGAUCGAUAGUGCACAAGUACCGUGAGGGAAAGGUGAAAAGAACUGAGGUGAUCAGAGUGAAAUAGAACCUGAAACCAUUUGCUUACAAUCAUUCAGAGCCCUAUGUAGCAAUACAGGGUGAUGGACUGCCUUUUGCAUAAUGAGCCUGCGAGUUGUGGUGUCUGGCAAGGUUAAGCAAACGCGAAGCCGUAGCGAAAGCGAGUCUGAAUAGGGCGCUUAGUCAGAUGCUGCAGACCCGAAACGAAGUGAUCUAUCCAUGAGCAAGUUGAAGCUAGUGUAAGAACUAGUGGAGGACUGAACCCAUAGGCGUUGAAAAGCCCCGGGAUGACUUGUGGAUAGGGGUGAAAGGCCAAUCAAACUUCGUGAUAGCUGGUUCUCUCCGAAAUAUAUUUAGGUAUAGCGUUGUGUCGUAAUAUAAGGGGGUAGAGCACUGAAUGGGCUAGGGCAUACACCAAUGUACCAAACCCUAUCAAACUCCGAAUACCUUAUAUGUAAUCACAGCAGUCAGGCGGCGAGUGAUAAAAUCCGUCGUCAAGAGGGAAACAACCCAGACUACCAGCUAAGGUCCCUAAAUCUUACUUAAGUGGAAAACGAUGUGAAGUU
RNAcentral lists this ribosomal RNA (1069 nucleotides) under Campylobacter jejuni. RNAcentral describes it as "partial 23S ribosomal RNA". It matches the Rfam family "Bacterial large subunit ribosomal RNA", at positions 1 to 1082 of the family's 2925-position model. The record is from RNAcentral. Lineage: Bacteria; Pseudomonadati; Campylobacterota; Epsilonproteobacteria; Campylobacterales; Campylobacteraceae.